CUCCCGUCCACUCGCCCCACCUCUGCCUGGGCGUGGAGCGAAGGCACCGUGGCUGCGCGCAUUUCCGAGCAAGGGAAACACUAGCCUCUGCUGGGUCCUGUGACAGAUGAUGGCGUUUUGAACCCCUGUGAGAUAAGUGACCUAGACUCAAAUCGUGAUCUCAGCGGCUUCUGGAUGAGCCCAACCUAAGAAGCAGUUUGUAAUCAGUCGAAGCCUGGGAACGGACUGCCAGCUGUCUCAGCAGCAAAAGGCCCCUGGUUGACGAUGAAUCUACUAACAGGAUACUGAGAAGGGCGCAGUACCUUCUGUGGCAUUUCUGCCCAAAAUGCAUACCCUCCGCCUAACAUGAGGAAACAUCAGAGAAAUCCAAAUUGAGGGGAUAACUGGCUGGUGCCCUUUGAAAGUGUCAAGGUCAUGAAAGACACAGAAAGACUGAAGAAGGGGAAUGGUUUGGAGCAAACACUUUAGUUUGACAACUGAAUGUAAUGCGGGGUGUUGG
Long non-coding RNA from Prionailurus viverrinus (fishing cat), 499 nucleotides. RefSeq lists it as uncharacterized. The transcript has 4 exons. The record is from RefSeq and is a predicted model, not a curated record. NCBI's taxonomy places the organism in Eukaryota, Metazoa, Chordata, Mammalia, Carnivora, Felidae.